Long non-coding RNA from Pipra filicauda (Wire-tailed manakin), 439 nucleotides. RefSeq lists it as uncharacterized. Lineage: Eukaryota; Metazoa; Chordata; Aves; Passeriformes; Pipridae. The record is from RefSeq and is a predicted model, not a curated record. The transcript is spliced from 3 exons.
AGUUAUUACUGAACAUGUGUGAUGUGAGAACAUUGAGAUCCUCUGCCAUUCAUUAUAGCAAAUGUCAAGUGGGUGUUGUGUGGAACUGAGAGAGACCAAUCUUGAGAGAACAUCCGCCUUCAAUAAGUGGAACUGCAGAUUACACAAAGCUGCAGGCAUAAAAGCAGCUACAAAAGAAAGUUCACUCUGAAAAUGAAACAAUUUUCUCUAGAAAAAUGAACAUGAAAGUUAAACAGCCAUCCUCACCCUUGCCUGGAAGACCUGAGAAAGGAGGUGGAGAGAAAAGUGUCCACUCUUUGGUCUCUGCAUGGGUGACAAUCAUUGUAGGUGGGGGACCACUAUACCAACUGAUAGAAGUGCCUGAAAAUGUUCCCAGGCUCUGCUGCUGGACCAGAAAACAAACCCUGUUCCUGCUAAUAAAUUCCAUCAUUCUCUGUAA